Molecule: ribosomal RNA, 434 nt
Filed under: uncultured bacterium
Lineage: Bacteria
Description: partial 16S ribosomal RNA
Rfam family: Bacterial small subunit ribosomal RNA
Source: RNAcentral
AGCGAACGCUGGCGGCAGGCCUAACACAUGCAAGUCGAACGAACAUAUCGGGGUUAGUGGCGGACGGGUGAGGCACCCGUGGGAACGUGCCUUUAGGUUCGGAAUAACUCAGGGACACUUGUGCUAACACCGAACGUGCCCUACUGGGGAAAGAUUAAUCGCCUUUAGAGGGGCCCGCGUCUGAUUAGCUAGUUGGUUGAGGUAAUGGCUCACCAACGCGACGAUCACUAGCUGGUCUGAGAGGAUGAUCAGCCACAUUGGGAGUGAGACACGGCCCAGACUCCUACGCGAGGCAGCAGUGGGGAAUCUUGCAAAAUGGCCGGGAGCCUGACGGAGCCAUGCCGCGAGAAUGAUGAUGGUCUGGGGAUUGUAAAAUUCUUUGACCGGCGACGAUAAUGACGGUACCCGGAGAAGAAGCCCCGGCUAACUUCGUG